RNAcentral lists this long non-coding RNA (1022 nucleotides) under Dromaius novaehollandiae (emu). RNAcentral's name for it is "lncRNA (ENSDNVG00000017572.1)". Lineage: Eukaryota; Metazoa; Chordata; Aves; Casuariiformes; Dromaiidae. The record is from RNAcentral.
GUCUGGCAAGAGCAGUUAUCUGGAGGGCAGCAGCAUCCCAGCCUGGCUUCCCUACAGCACGGAGGGCUCCCGCGGCAGCCCUUCGUCCCCGCACUGACAGCCCGGUGCUGGCAGCUUCUCCAGCAYGGUGCCGAGGGUCUGGUGGCAGAGAGGUGGCUCAAAGCUGGGAAUGAAAAUGGCCUGUCGAACCGCAGAAGUCAAGGCAGUCCUCUGCCAGUGGCUCCCCUGAACACGUGCCCUGCUCAGCCAUCAGCAGAGGAAGACCAAGAGGUGGCCUUGGCGGUUCCUGUGUGCCACGCAGCCUCGGGCAGAGGCGUUCCUCUCGGCCGCUGCCUUUCCAACACGGGCGCUGCAGGGAAGAGCCAGCCUGGCACCGCUGCUGCGCUCCAGAGCGUGGUCCUGCCGGCUCUGCGUGUCCACCUUCCUCAGCGCAGCAGGAAGAAAGCUCAGCUCGGGGCCUGGUCCUCCAUGCCUGGAACUCGCUGCAGGAGUCUUGCAGUAUGAGAGCGCUGUGCUGUCGCUCGUGCUUCCCCUAGGUCUGGCCUGGGCAGGAUUUACACUGCUUUUUUUAUAGAAGCUGUAUCAUCAGAAUGCUACUUAGUGUGGCAGGUGGUUAGUGUCUGCCACCACUCUUAGUGCCUGCCUGGCACCUUCUGAUUAAAAACAACAACAAAAAAAAGCACUACCAUAAUUGCUGGCCCUCUUGCAUCAGCAGAAAUGAAUGCAGCUUCAGAGCAGAGGAAAAGCAUGUGCUUGGCUCUCCGGGAGGUGAAAGGCUGCUCUUCACCCUGGGCCAGCCCAGGGCACCCUGAGCAGCACAGAGCAAGGGCUGCAGAAAGGCACGUGCACAGCCCGCGGAGCGAGGGAGCAGCGAGCUGCGUGCCAUUGCCGCAGCUCUCAAGCAAACGAGGUGGCUGGAUGCAUGUGCAUCGAUGACGGCGCUGUGAGUGGUGCAGCCAGCUGCGGGAACUGCAAGGGUGAGUACAGUUUUCUGUUGGUAAAUAAUCACAUUUGGAGGAUGC